RNAcentral lists this ribosomal RNA (274 nucleotides) under uncultured bacterium. RNAcentral describes it as "partial 16S ribosomal RNA". It matches the Rfam family "Bacterial small subunit ribosomal RNA", at positions 523 to 796 of the family's 1533-position model. The record is from RNAcentral.
AUACGGAGGGUGCAAGCGUUGUUCGGAAUCAUUGGGCGUAAAGCGCGUGUAGGCGGCUUGGCAAGUCGGGCGUGAAAUCCCGGGGCUCAACCCCGGAACUGCACCCGAAACUGCUUGGCUAGAGUCCCGGAGAGGAAGGCGGAAUUCCCGGUGUAGAGGUGAAAUUCGUAGAUAUCGGGAGGAACACCAGCGGCGAAGGCGGCCUUCUGGACGGUGACUGACGCUGAGACGCGAAAGCGUGGGGAGCAAACAGGAUUAGAUACCCCGGUAGUCC